CAGAAGCACAGAGCUAGGGUCCUCUGUUAACUCCUCAACAAGUUCUCUCUCUUCCUCUCUCGUUCUCACUCAUUUUCCGACGAAGAUAAAACCAAUGGAUUUUCUUGAUGCAAAAAAGUGUCUUUUGCAAGCAAAGAUGUGAGGUGAAGAGGUAGCCGUUGCAGCCAGGCACCUGCUUCCGUUCCUGGUGAGCCCAUAGCCAUCAUUGAGAAGCAUGCUGCACAG
RNA transcript from Vigna umbellata (rice bean), 225 nucleotides. It is a transcript of the gene named pentatricopeptide repeat-containing protein At1g80550, mitochondrial pseudogene, with no coding region annotated. Lineage: Eukaryota; Viridiplantae; Streptophyta; Magnoliopsida; Fabales; Fabaceae. The record is from RefSeq and is a predicted model, not a curated record.